Molecule: ribosomal RNA, 600 nt
Filed under: uncultured bacterium
Lineage: Bacteria
Description: bacterial SSU rRNA
Rfam family: Bacterial small subunit ribosomal RNA (bases 1-516)
Source: RNAcentral
CCUACGGGAGGCAGCAGUGGGGAAUCUUGCGCAAUGGGCGAAAGCCUGACGCAGCCAUGCCGCGUGAAUGAUGAAGGUCUUAGGAUUGUAAAAUUCUUUCACCGGGGACGAUAAUGACGGUACCCGGAGAAGAAGCCCCGGCUAACUUCGUGCCAGCAGCCGCGGUAAUACGAAGGGGGCUAGCGUUGCUCGGAAUUACUGGGCGUAAAGGGAGCGUAGGCGGAUAGUUUAGUCAGAGGUGAAAGCCCAGGGCUCAACCUUGGAAUUGCCUUUGAUACUGGCUAUCUUGAGUGUGGGAGAGGUAUGUGGAACUCCGAGUGUAGAGGUGAAAUUCGUAGAUAUUCGGAAGAACACCAGUGGCGAAGGCGACAUACUGGCCCAUUACUGACGCUGAGGCUCGAAAGCGUGGGGAGCAAACAGGAUUAGAUACCCUGGUAGUCCACGCUGUAAACGAUGAGUGCUAGUUGUCGGCAUGCAUGCAUGUCGGUGACGCAGCUACGCAUAAGACACUCCGCCGUGGGAGGUACGGUCGCAGAGUUAAACUACAAUAGAGUUAGACGGCGUGAGACGUGCCGACGGACGACGACGAGGGAGGUUAGG